This 253-nucleotide ribosomal RNA is filed under the name uncultured bacterium. Its description in RNAcentral is "partial 16S ribosomal RNA". It matches the Rfam family "Bacterial small subunit ribosomal RNA", at positions 524 to 776 of the family's 1533-position model. The record is from RNAcentral.
UACGGAGGGGGCUAGCGUUGUUCGGAAUUACCGGGCGUAAAGCGCACGUAGGCGGCUUUGUAAGUUAGAGGUGAAAGCCCGGGGCUCAACUCCGGAAUUGCCUUUAAGACUGCAUCGCUAGAAUUGUGGAGAGGUAAGUGGAAUUCCGAGUGUAGAGGUGAAAUUCGUAGAUAUUCGGAAGAACACCAGUGGCGAAGGCGACUUACUGGACACAUAUUGACGCUGAGGUGCGAAAGCGUGGGGAGCAAACAGG